Molecule: signal recognition particle RNA, 313 nt
Filed under: Methanobacteriota archaeon
Lineage: Archaea; Methanobacteriati; Methanobacteriota
Description: Euryarchaeota archaeon signal recognition particle sRNA
Rfam family: Archaeal signal recognition particle RNA
Source: RNAcentral
UGUUGGGCUAGGGGGGGUGUUGACGUGCUCUGUUAUUCACAAAUCGUCGAUAAUGGUGACCUGAAGUCCGAGGGCGGCGUAGACGAGCCGCUGGCGACCCGCCGGUUGACGUCGACGCCUCGUCCCCAAGAGAUGCAGGUUGUUGGAAUUGGCUUCCGGAGGGGAGCCAUGACCAUCCUAUGCCCGGGAACCAGGUCAGGCGCGGAAGCGAGCAGCCCGACCGGGGAUGCUGGAUGCCUUGGGAAAACGGGGCUGAGGAGAUCGGUGAUUUAUCGCCAGCGGUGACGAACGUCCACCGAGGACGCGCCCACUA